GGGAAGGUGGCUCAGUGGUAGAGUGCUUGCCUUGCAUGCAUGAGGCCCUGGGAUUGAUUCCUUGCCACCACA
RNAcentral lists this transfer RNA (72 nucleotides) under Dipodomys ordii (Ord's kangaroo rat). It matches the Rfam family "tRNA". From Rfam's summary of the family: Transfer RNA (tRNA) molecules are approximately 80 nucleotides in length. Their secondary structure includes four short double-helical elements and three loops (D, anti-codon, and T loops). The record is from Rfam by way of RNAcentral. Lineage: Eukaryota; Metazoa; Chordata; Mammalia; Rodentia; Heteromyidae.